Molecule: ribosomal RNA, 122 nt
Filed under: uncultured ectomycorrhiza (Basidiomycota)
Lineage: Eukaryota; Fungi; Basidiomycota
Description: partial 28S ribosomal RNA
Rfam family: Eukaryotic large subunit ribosomal RNA
Source: RNAcentral
UUGACCUCAAAUCAGGUAGGACUACCCGCCGAACUUAAGCAUAUCAAUAAGCGGAGGAAAAGAAACUAACGAGGAUUCCCCUAGUAACUGCGAGUGAAGCGGGAAGAGCUCGAGUUUGUAUC